AUUAAGCCAUGCAAGUGUUAGUUCAGGUAACGAAACUGCGAAUAGCUCAUUAAUACGCUCAGAAUCUAUUUGGCGGCGACCAACAGGUCUUAAAUGGAUAGCAGCAGCAACUCUGGUGCUAAUACAUGCGAUUGUUUCUCCAGAUGUGAAUUAUGGAGGAAAAGUUGACCUCAUCAGAGGCACGCCAUUCGACUGAGUGACCUAUCAGCUUGUACUUAGGGUCUUUACCUAGGUAGGCUAUCACGGGUAACGGGCGGUUACCGUCGGACUGCCGGAGAAGGCGCCUGAGAGAUAGCGACUAUAUCCACGGGUAGCAGCAGGCGCGAAACUUUCCCACUCGAGACUUUCGGAGGAGGUAAUGACCAGUUCCAUUGGUGCCUUUUGGUACUGUGGAUAGGGGUACGGUUUUCCACCGUACCGAAACCUAGCAGAGGGCCAGUCUGGUGCCAGCAGCUGCGGUAAUUCCAGCUCUGCGAGUUUGCUCCCAUAUUGUUGCAGUUAAAACGCCCGUAGUCUGAAUUGGCCAGCAAUGGUCGUACGUAUUUUUACGUUCACUGUGAACAAAUCAGGACGCUUAGAGUAUGGCCACAUGAAUGACUCAGCGCAGUAUGAAGUCUUUGUUUUCUUCCGAAAACAAGCUCAAUGAGAGCCAUCGGGGGUAGAUCUAUCUCAUGACGAGUGGUGGAAUACUUUGACUCAUGAGAGAGAAGCUGAGGCGAAGGCGUCUACCUAGAGGGUUUCUGUCGAUCAAGGGCGAGAGUAGGAGUAUCCAACAGGAUUAGAGACCCUGGUAGUUCCUACCUUAAACGAUGCCGACAGGAGUUUGUCAUUUGUUAAUGGCAGAAUCUUUGGAGAAAUCAUAGUUCUUGGGCUCUGGGGGAACUACGACCGCAAGGCUGAAACUUGAACGAAUUGACGGAACGGCACACCAGGGGUGGAGCCUGUGGCUUAAUUUGAAUCAACACGGGGAAACUUACCAGGACCAGAUGUUUUUAUGACUGACAGGCUCGGGUCUUUCAGGAUAUUGUUUUUGGUGGUGCAUGCCGAUGGUGGUGCGUGGGAUGACCUGUCUAGCGUUGAAUCAGC
RNAcentral lists this non-coding RNA (1086 nucleotides) under Trichomonas vaginalis G3. Its description in RNAcentral is "Eukaryotic small subunit ribosomal RNA". It matches the Rfam family "Eukaryotic small subunit ribosomal RNA", at positions 43 to 1328 of the family's 1831-position model. The record is from Rfam by way of RNAcentral. Lineage: Eukaryota; Parabasalia; Trichomonadida; Trichomonadidae.